This 6881-nucleotide unclassified non-coding RNA is filed under the name Exaiptasia diaphana. RNAcentral describes it as "sodium-dependent neutral amino acid transporter B(0)AT2, transcript variant X1". Lineage: Eukaryota; Metazoa; Cnidaria; Anthozoa; Actiniaria; Aiptasiidae. The record is from RNAcentral.
GACGUGAGAACACAAGUACACUUGACUUGCUUCAUUUCCCGCGCAAAUUCACAAGCACGCAANNCCGCGAAAUCAGCGCGUUUUAGAGAGAUACAUGACUACAAAAAUAAACCCAGAUUAUAGCAUUUCUGCUUCGUCAUCUUGUUUGAUCAUCUGGAUAUCUGGAAAUACAUGAAAAGAGNGANAGCAAACACAAUAAUUCCCUGUCGGCUAAGACGCGAUUGGUCAAUUGGUGAUUGAUUGACAGCUUUGGUAUGUUUUAUUUUGAUUCCACGCCGUAGUGAGCCAGUUUUGAAAGGACGUUUAUCGGGGCGCGUUGGUGAAAGAACUGUUCUUUUGUACUUGAUCAUUUACCCCUAUUGAAUCUAAUCUAAGAACAAUAGUGAAUACAAGUUAACAACAGUCUUUACUGAAAUAACCGAUACAUUUGUUAAAAAAACCGGCAACUUCUUGAACCAAACUGACACGUGGCUUUGUUGAUCACUGGUAGAACCUAGUAUUUCUGAGGCCACACGACAAGAAUUCCCUGAACACUUGUUCAUCAACUUAAUAAUACUCAUUCCACAAUGGAAAAAGGAGCUCCUGCUUCACUAGUAAAAGUCGUAGCGAAGGAAGAUGUCCCAUCCAGUACAAAGGAAGUUACAACCAAUGGAGUCAGUGAUGGAGUCGUAGUGACUUUGCCGCCGAACCCCAAUGUUAGAGACUCGGAAGAAAACAUCGUGACGGAACAACAAGCUGUUGUUAACAUCAAGAAAGACGAAAAUCCGGCUGGUGUGGCUACGAAAACAGAAGAUGAUGCUAGGCCUAAAUGGGGCAACAAGUUAGAAUUUAUUCUUGCUACCGUGGGAUUUGCUGUCGGACUUGGGAAUGUCUGGCGUUUUCCAUAUUUAUGUCAAAAAAACGGAGGAGGUGCGUUUUUGAUUCCCUACUUCAUCAGUCUUACCUUACUGGGAAUCCCCCUCUUCUUUCUGGAACUUGGAAUCGGUCAAAGUGUACGACAAGGGUCCAUUGGAGUAUGGAACUAUAUCCAUCCUUAUCUUGGAGGUGUUGGUUANGCCUGUGUUGUAGUAUGUCUGCUAGUAGCCAUAUACUACAACAUGAUUAUUGCCUGGUGUUUCUACUAUCUCUUUGCUUCUUGGCAAGAUCCCUUGCCAUAUUCAAAAUGCCCCAUGAUCAAGCAUGGAAAUGGAUCUAUGAUAAUGGAGCCGGCAUGCGAACUUGCUGGAACAACUCAGUACUACUGGUAUCACGAUGCUCUGCAAGUGACNCCCUCGUUGGAAGAGAGUGGUGGACUCACAUGGCAUCUGGCUUUGACUNUACUGCUUGCCUGGGUUGUAGUCUGGCUGUGCAUGAUGAAGGGGGUACAGUCAGCUGGAAAGGCUGUCUAUUUCACAGCUACCUUUCCAUACAUUGUGCUUAUCAUUUUCUUUGGACGUGGUAUCACUCUGCCAGGCUGUUUUGAUGGCAUAAAAUACAUGUUUAAACCGCAGUUUGACAUGAUUUUAAAGCCUGGNGUUUGGCUUGCUGCNGCUACACAGAUCUUUUUCUCUCUCAGUCUUGCCUUUGGUGGGCUGAUUGCCAUGUCAAGCUACAACCCUGUUCACAACAACUGUCACAGAGAUGCAAUUCUAGUGUCUUGCAUUAAUUGUGGAACGUCCAUUUUUGCUGGUAUUGUCAUCUUUGCCAUUCUUGGUUUCAAGGCACACACAUCUCUCCAUGAAUGUUUGACUGUUUAUGGAGUUAAUGGAACAAAAAUCUUGCCAGCCAAUGAGACACUUGCAUCUCACUGCCAAGAUAUUGACUACUGGCUCUCCAAGACUGCCUCUGGUCCUGGUUUGACUUUCAUCGCCUUCACAGAGGCUAUUGUCAAAAUGCCUGUAUCCCAGCUGUGGGCUACAUUGUUUUUCCUCAUGUUGAUGACCCUUGGUCUUGGUAGUAUGUUUGGUACGCUGGAAGGUGUUAUCACUCCAGUUUAUGACUUGAAACUUGUCCCNUGGAGAAANGAGAUUAUCACAGCUAUCAUCUGUGCAUUCUGCUAUCUUAUUGGGCUACUCUUUUGCCAACGAUCGGGCCAAUACUGGCUUCANAUGUUUGAUACUUUCUCUGGCACCAUUCCUCUCCUUAUCAUUGGAUUCUUUGAACUGGUUGGAGUGUCAUGGAUAUAUGGGCUAAAACGGUUUGAAGAUGAUUUGGAGUAUAUGUUGAAGAUGCGUCCCAGUCUUUACUUCCGAAUCACCUGGAAGUAUGUCUCUCCUGGCUUGGUUAUUAUCAUCCUUGUAGCAAGUCUCAUUAGCAUGGGUCUGGAUCCAAUGAACUAUGAAGGCUUUGACUACAAUGAGGGUCGAUCAAAACCACUGGAGUUCCCUGGUUGGGCCUAUGCCCUCAUUGCUUUCCUCAUUGGUUCGUCCUUCCUAUUUAUACCUGGCAUACUUCUGCUCAGAUACUUCAAUAUUGUACCAUAUCAACGAAAACAGUAUGGUAAGGCAAGAGCAGGCGAUGAAGUUACCCCUGCAGCAGUCACACCAUCCAUGUCGCAAAUACCAUUACCAGCAUCUGAGAUACCAUUAGCAGGAAGGGUAGAAAAUGGACAAGCAUAACCAUAAUGUUUGUAUUUGUUACAUGCUGAACGUUUCUUUUGGGACUUACCUGAUAUUGCUUUAGCAAGAGAGUUUUUCACAGUACAUUUCAAUGCGCAACAUGAUCAUUUUAAGUGCAUUGCAUGUUGUGAGAAAUUAUCUUGCAAUGAUAAUUUAGGCAAGUUUUACAAGAAAUGUUCAGCAUGUAACUGUAAGGCUGUCUGCUUUUUGCCAGUUUUGAUUGGACAACAGAUUUGCCAGAGAGGGCUCAAAGUAAGUUCCACUCUAUAACAGCAAGAAGCAGACAGCUGUAAACCAUAAGUUGCCACUCAGCAAUCAAGCGGUGAACUGCGUCAGGGGGUUUGUCAGCAUAAUUCUGUCCCACAGAAGUGCAUGGGUUUUAAACCUCAAACUGUUGCGAGUCUCAGGGGCUUCAAGAUUCAUUCUGACCCACAGACAGUGUUUGGGUUUCCAUUGGGCUGUUGUUUAUAACCAUGAAUAUAAAGUUAGAAUCUUCACUAAGAUGGUAGCUAUUAUAAAAGAGUGCUAGACUGAAGGAGCACUUGGAGGUUCAAAUGAGAAGCAAGGGUGGCUAGUGGNAUUAGAGCCAUGGUGUAGUNCCANUAUCAUUGAUAUCCAGUUCCCAAAUGGGGACCAUGUGUGGCUUUAGGCUUGUUGUCUAAUCUCAAUCUUGCUAUGACUAAUUGACUAAUAUUGAUCUAAGCCGUGCUCAUUGAUGGGACACUAUUGAGUAGUACUUGUUACGGUACUCUAUAUGUCCAUAAUAGUNUAUUACUAGCCACUUAAUGAAAGCACCCCCUUGACUUCAUCAGAUUGAGCUGAAGUCUUCAUAUUUCAGCAAUAUCCUUUACAUAGCAUAGUACGUUUCAGCAAGCCCAUACCUAUCCAAUUCUCUCCAUACUACCCCCCCUCCCCCCCCCCAAUCCUGCUGAGUGGCUACUUAUGGGGGAAGGGAGGGGAGGGAUUGGGUUGAAUAGAGGUCUUGAUUGUAAAUAUAUACUUAACUGGUUUAGCACUUGUUUUCUCUGAAAACACAUUUUGUAUGCCAGGUGUGAGAUUUGACAACUAUUUCCACAGUUCACACCUUCAUCAUAUUGUGUUUUUAGACCCCUCUUUGGUGUUUCUCUGCAUAUUAUAUUAUAUUUUCUUUUUAACCUGGAGCUGUCUUCUAAAUUUUCUUCUUGGUGGUGAAAUUCUUGCUUUAAGCUGCAGGGCGGCGUAAAGCCAUCUCAGAAUUUGUACCUCAUCACAGGGUACAAAUCAAAUCCAAAAUAAUUAUAAAAUAUGUUUUUAAUCUCCUUAAAAGAGUUUGUACAGAACAAGAUAAAUAUUAUAUUGAACCCAUGGGUGGGCUGACCGACUGCAGAUAUCUAGGGCCAGUUUUUCAAAGGGUAAAAAUCAAAGAAAAUCUUGGUAGUGGUUAACUUUUCCGUAACCCUUUGUACAAUCUGAACCNGAGCCUGGAAUAUACAAUUCAUUUGGUAUGUAUAAAGAAUCCAAAACUUGGCUUUGGGGAAUGUUUGAUCUAUUUAUUCAUGCUUUUAAGUCUUGUUUUGGCGCUAAGUGAGAUGUAUAUCGACACAAGGCUAUUGAUAUUAUUAUUAAUCAUUAAGUUCUUAUCUGCUGUCUUGGUAUCAACUAAGGGUGNUUUUUUUUUGUAACAAAGUUUUGGUUUGAUCAAAGAACAGGUUUUCUUGACCAAGCUCCUCUAAGUCAUUUAUUUUAAAUUGCAACACGUCUUCUUGCAAGCUAAUUAUAUUUUAUAAUCUGACAAUAGUGCUACUGAAUUUAGAGCGGAUUUCGUAUGGUUGUGCAAAAAAUACUGUGCUGUCGCAUUACAAAAUCCGCUCAGUCAGACACUUGCCUUUAAUUUUGCAGUCAUCCAGGUCUUUUAGAAUUCAUAUAGGCCUUUCAUUGUUUGAUUAUNAUGUUCGUGUAUUUUGUGAUCGUCUUUCAUGAUAUAAUAGGGUUUGUCGUUCUAGUAAUUGUAUAUCCUGUGGACUUCAAUCNUCAUUUUUUUCCGCUUUAAAAAACUGGACGAAAAAAUCAUUCUAUUUAAUUUUACAGAAAAUCACAGGAGGUUAAACAGUUUCACAAAACAUUACUCAUGUUUGACCAUGUAUUCAUCUGUCGGAAACUUUCCAUAGACUACAAAAACAUUACAAUCACAUCGUGUUAAAAGGAUUUAGUUGCAACAAUUUGAAGUUCAUUUUUAAACUUCAUUGCAAUUAGAAUCCUUCAUAUUUUUAGAAAAUCAUAUAUUAAAAAAGACCGAAAUAUAAAACUGAAUCGGNACUUAUUCCAAGAUUGAGGUAAAUUAUUAGACUAUUUUAAAGGGAUUUUGUGUCUUGGUGAAGAGUCUGAAUUCAUUCUUCAAAAUAAACAAAAAAACAAAAAUCAAGUCUCUUGCUAAAAAUCUNUAAGUUGUUAAUUUAAAAGUAUGUAAUUGCCUAGCGUAUUGUCAUCCCAAGUGUUCUGGGAAAAAAGAUUCUUAAUUUGCUAGGAGUUGCUUUAACAAUUACAAUUUUAGUCAUAGCAACCACAUGGACUAGACUUAGCAACUGUGUUAUGUUGCCAUGGNAUUACCAAGUCACCAUGGCAAUCAGUUAUCUGUAGCAGUCAAAUUUUAGACGCUUUAUUUCGUAACAAUUUCGUUUUGAAUCUGUUACAUAAAGCAUUGAUGUUUUUAUCAUAAUUCAAAAAAUGGCAAAAAUAUCAUUGGAAAAUUCAACUAUAGUUUUAGAUAAAAAGUGUAUUUUUAAGACGCAAGUGUUGAUCUAAUAUAUCGUAUACUUAAUAUAAAUAUUUGUAUAUUGUGUGCUAAUACCUGACUUAUUAUUAAGGGGGACACAAGAUUGUUGUGAUUGUCAAUUUGUAGAGAUGACAAGUAGUCAUUCACAGUUUAUGAAACAAGUUGUGGAAGUUUAGUUAGCGCUCUCUAGAAGUAGCUUCUGAAUCGAAGCAUCUGCUGGAGGUGAACCUUAAGCAAAAUGAAAAAGGAACCAUGAGCAGUUGUUUCUGUGAAGACNAUUUGUGGUGUCUGCAUAAGCUCAAUACAUUUUGCAGUUCCUCGAAAUUUCCNCAAUUNUAGAUCAUAAUUUUCGUUUUUUGGUUCUUGAAGUGUAUGUGUGUGCCAAGUAAACUAGCUUAAUAUAUAAAUGAUUAGUAUAUGAAUUGAUAUCAUAGCCAAAGCGCCAUUACUAUCUUUAUUCAGAAAUAGGGUUCUUUCCAGAAAUGCACAAGUGGAUUGAACUACUUGGGGUGUAAAUAAUAUCAAUCUUUCGAUAAAAGUGGACACUGCAACAUCAUUGUUUUCUGUCAGUUACUUUUUCAAUCCCUUGUGAGUUUCUGGUUAUAAGAUUGAUCUGUAUCAUUAAGCUCACUUGUUAUUGACAGCUGUCAUUCAAGUGAUUGACAACUAUAUUUUAUGCAAAUCUCAUUUAUUCAUCAAGGCCAAGCCAUGGCUACAAGAAUUGUUUCAAUUGGUGGGAAAUUUGUUUGUAGAAUUCUUGGUAGCAGUGGCUUGAGCAGAUUUUUUUGUGGUGUCAAAGUGCAAGCACUAAACCGGUAAAAGUAGCAAAUUUAACUUAGAAUUAAAUUAUUGACACAACUAUUUUUAUUAAUAUUUAUAAUCGAGAGGUUUUAGUGCCUGCAUACUUAACAAUUGAUACACAAGUGUUCUUAUACGCACAAACUGGUUUAUUUUUUUUGAAGCUUGAUUCUUUAGCAGUCACGUGAUAAGUCACAUGACUUAUCUAUGACGUCAUCGUGCUGAGAGUAGAAACGUUUGGCGAAUUUGUUUUAAUGUGGUGUUAUAAGAACUACUUUGUGUGACCAUGUCGAAAUCAUUACAGUAGCCACAAUAUUUAUAGCUUGACAUUUUAACGUGAUUUAACGUUUUCAAAUUGUUGUAAAAAGGACUAAAAUUUCAUAGUGUCUUNCCAUUAGAAUGGAAUUUGUCCAUUUUAAGACCCAGAGGNCUGUGUGUGACUAACUUUUCAAGACUGAAACAGACCUGUUUUAAACCGAUAUGAGAUAUAGUGCAUCUUGAAGCACAAAAUUGGACAUGGGUUAGCUACGCACAGUCCCACUAGUAAGAAUUAAGCNUGCUAUAUUUGUACAUAGGCCAAGGUUAAUAAAAAUGUAAUGUAGAAAUGUCGGUAUUGUCGUUUUAAACAGUGUUUGAUUUGUAUGGUUAAGAGUUGGAGUUCACUUUAUUGGUGGCCAAUGUCUUAAUGUAAAGCACAGUUAUUCAUUUAAUAGCAAUAAAAGAAUUGAACAUUG